RNAcentral lists this unclassified non-coding RNA (154 nucleotides) under uncultured cyanobacterium. RNAcentral's name for it is "partial 16S-23S ribosomal RNA intergenic spacer". Lineage: Bacteria; Bacillati; Cyanobacteriota. The record is from RNAcentral.
CGGUUCGAGUCCGCUUACCUCCACUGAUUACCACCUCUUCCAUAAUCGGUAGAAAGGAAAUUUUUUGAGUUGUGAUCAAAUUCUGAAAGAAUCUAGCUUCCUAAUGAAAUCGUUAAGAUGCUGGACUCAUUGAAUUAAUUUCAUUGUUUUCAGA